Molecule: ribosomal RNA, 491 nt
Filed under: uncultured bacterium
Lineage: Bacteria
Description: partial 16S ribosomal RNA
Rfam family: Bacterial small subunit ribosomal RNA
Source: RNAcentral
GUGAACGCUGGCGGUAGGCCUAACCCCUGCAAGUCGAACGGCAGCACCGUAAGAGCUUGCUCUUACGGGUGGCGAGUGGCGGACGGGUGAGGAAUACAUCGGAAUCUACUUUUUCGUGGGGGAUAACGUAGGGAAACUUACGCUAAUACCGCAUACGACCUACGGGUGAAAGCAGGGGAUCUUCGGACCUUGCGCGAUUGAAUGAGCCGAUGUCGGAUUAGCUAGUUGGCGGGGUAAAGGCCCACCAAGGCGACGAUCCGUAGCUGGUCUGAGAGGAUGAUCAGCCACACUGGAACUGAGACACGGUCCAGACUCCUACGGGAGGCAGCAGUGGGGAAUAUUGGACAAUGGGCGCAAGCCUGAUCCAGCCAUACCGCGUGUGUGAAGAAGGCCUUCGGGUUGUAAAGCCCUUUUGUUGGGAAAGAAAAGCAGCAGGUUAAUACCCCGCUGUUCUGACGGUACCCAAAGAAUAAGCACCGGCUAACUUCGUG